GCUGGCAGGGCUGUCAGUGCAGGUCGGGGCCGAUCGUAGAGAUGCCGCGUUGUGAGCGGCAGGUUAGGGGUUCAAGUCCCCUCGCCGGCU
RNAcentral lists this transfer RNA (90 nucleotides) under Nocardiopsis flavescens. RNAcentral's name for it is "tRNA-Thr". The record is from RNAcentral. Lineage: Bacteria; Bacillati; Actinomycetota; Actinomycetes; Streptosporangiales; Nocardiopsidaceae.